This 3230-nucleotide long non-coding RNA is filed under the name Bactrocera latifrons. RNAcentral describes it as "uncharacterized LOC108969573". Lineage: Eukaryota; Metazoa; Arthropoda; Insecta; Diptera; Tephritidae. The record is from RNAcentral.
GAUAACAAAUUUUUAAAAUAUUUUAAUUUUACAGUAAACAAAUCAAAUAGAAAUACAGUUAUUAGAAUACAAUUUUGCAUUAUGUAUUUAAUCUAACUCACAAAAAUUGUCGAAAUCGAACCGUAACUAUUCAAAGAUUCAGGGAGCAAAUAUGUGGACACCAGUGCAUAUGGCUAAAUUUUGCCGAAUAUGUCGGUGAAUUAUGGUGGAGAAAUUCGGGGAUAGUAUAAUAGUUAUAACAACGCGCUCUUGUGAAAAAAAUGGCUAAAAUCGGUUUAAACUUCACUUAGCCCCCAAACACCUAAUAUAACUAUUUUCGAACUUACGGCUGACUUUAUAGCAGUCAAUAGGUUAGAAUUCUUAAUUAAACCCAUACUCUUCUCCUAAUAAUAGUGCAUCUUCCUGCCUGAGCUGCCCAACUUAUUCCAGUAUGAAAGCACCUCAAAAUCACAACGUAAAAAAUUCAUCAAAUACACUUAAGUUUCGAGUUUUCUUUAAAUUUCGUUCCGUUCACAUACAUUUUUAGCAGAAUUUCGAUCUGGCCAUUCCAGUCAUUCCAAUUACGAUACGCCAGUCAACUGUCAAUGUAAGGUAGUUUAGUUUCUCUCUCAUUUCCAAUGACAAGGGAGUCGUCUCAUUAUCUUCGCUUCUUUUUGUGUGGUGUAAAAAUUUAAAAUUUUUUAAAUUUGAAAAAAUUUAAAAAUGCCACGAAUUCGAAAAUGUUGUGUGCGCGAGUGUAAUAACGAUAACAAAAAGUGCAAUUUGUUUGUUUGGCCGAAAAAUGAAAAAAUCGCAAGAAAGUGGUGCCGAAAUCUAGGCUUUGAGGGAAGGAAAAUAGCUACCACAAACACGUUUGUUUGUGCAAUGCAUUUUGAGGAUUAUGCACUAGGGGCUAAGAGGUUGAAAAUUGGAGCUGUUCCUACUCUAAAACUCGGAAAAUCCGAUGAUGCUGUUUACUUGUCAAUAAAGAAGAGUAAUGAAGUACGGACCUGCUGUGCUAAGGGAUGUCCAUCGGAUGAAAAAGACAUACUAUUUGCAUUCCCCGAUGAUGAGAUUGACUUCGAUAACUGGGUUUUAGCAUUAAAAAUAAGUACAUCAUACUCCGACCGAAGAAAGUUAUUUAUUUGUGACCGUCAUUUUGAUGUGGACUCCAUUAUAAAUAAGAAACUCAAGGAAGGAGCUAUCCCGAAGCAUAAUUUAUUUUAUGAAACAGUAGGUAAUUGUAGCAGCUUUUCUUCAAAUAGAGUCCUGCACCCUUCUAAACGUCAGUAGUCAUACACACAUCAGAAAGGAUAGGGGAAUAUAUCAGUUUGGAGGACUUCAAGUUAUAUUCGGAUCUCGAGGUGAAACGUUAACAAUACAAUGUUUUCUCCAACCUUGAUUCCUCAAAAUGUGUCCAAGAAUCUUGCGCAUGAAUUGCGUGAGCUUGUGAACAAAGUGCAAAUAAGCAAAAUCAAGGCAUAAAUGCGCUCAGGCAGGAGAGAAAGAUUUUAAAACAAGAAUUAUUUGAGUUAGGGAAUUGGACAAUUAUUGCAUCCAAAAAUUGCUGAUGAGAAUGUAACAUAUCUUGGUUGAAGGGUAUCAAUUAAUAAAGUACAUAAACUGAAGAUUAGAAUUUCUAGGAAAUCUUCAAGCAGGAACACAUCUGUGCCAUACUAAUCGACGAAAUUGUAAGUCAGGACUGUCGGGUCUGCGUAACCGGAACGAUCCCGGAUUUUUAUCCGGCCAAGGACUGUCAAUUCGGCAGAAUUCUGCCGCUACAAUAACAACAACAAACAAUUUAAAUUAAAAAAUAAAUUUGGAGCUGACAAAUCCAGUUUUUCUAUGUAUUUCUGAAUGAUUAUUGCCAUUUCUAUAUUCAUUGCCAUUUGAUUAAGUCGGUUAGGAAAAAUUUCUUAAAGUAAGACUUUAAAAUUAUCGAUGGUUUAGAAGCUACAUCCAAUCGAUGGUGGGAGUUAUAAUUGUAAAAUAUGUCCAUAGUUGACAUGCUCCCACAAUGUGAAACCCACAUAUGUAUGUAUGUACAUAUGUAUAUCCCAAGCAUUGAAAAAAAGGGUCCGUUCCAGAUGGCUUCGACCGGGAAUUAAGGCAGGGAUUACUACGUACUAUUGAAAUGCGCAAAAGUGACAUACAUAUGUAUGUAAAUGUUUGUGAAGCACAUCAACGACUUAAUCGAUUGCAAUAUUUAUCAUAAUCAUAACAACAAUGAUCAAUUUAACAAUAGAAACCUUGGGUGAUGCGGAUAGAAAUAGGACUAAAAUUACUUCACCGGAAUGGUUUGAAUGGUUUUUAGAAGCUGUUUAAUGUCUAAACUAUCAGCAACCCCUGUUAAAAUCUUUAAUAAUAGUACUCUAUUUAAAAACGCGAAAUGGUUGGUUGAAGAAAAGCUGUAAGAAAACAUUUGCCUACUUUAGAAUAGUAAAUUAAAAAAUUUAAUAAAAAGCAACGGGAUUAUGUAGUACUUAUUUUGGAUUAAUGCCAAUAAGUUAAAGGCGCGUUUUUGUAUGGGCUGCCUUCAUAAAUACAGUUUGCAAAAAUACGUUUUUUUUUUCUAGCGUAACAGUUGUUUAAUUUGUUAUGCUUUGAUUUUUUAACGGUAGAAAUAACGGACACGUAUUGAUAAAAAGUGGAACCACGAAAGAAAUACUAUUUUUAUGAAAGCAGAGUUUAGUGCAAAAAAAAAUUAAGAGAAAGAUAAGUUGAGCGAAUUUAUUACGUGACAUUAAGGAAUUGGAAACAAAAUUCCCUUAUAACGGGAUCCGACAAAUUGGCGUAUUUUUAAAAAGUUAGAUGAGGUCUUCGGCAGCCGCAGCAGCCUACAGGUGUCUAGUGAAAUUAUCACAAAUUUGUUGUGGAAUAUUUAAUAAGCGAGGAAUCAAUGACACCCACCGAAAAUAAAUCUGGCAUUAAACCUUCGAAUAUCACUACUCUGAGAAGUGUUAGUAUUAUAUAUAAUAAGUAAAGUAUCUUAAGUCAGAUGCUUUUACAAUGAAGAAGUUGUCGGAUUUAGAGAGAAUGAAAAUCACGGUAAAACAGAAGAAGUAGCUGAGUCCAAGAAAAUUUGUACCUUACUUCAGGAAAUUGUUGAAAAUUCACAAUUAUAUAAAUGGAAUUGAUGGCAAAUAUGAAUAAAAAUGCAGUAAGUUCGUUUAACUGUAAAUUAAUAAAUCUGUGAACCACAUUUUUUUCAAGGACAAAUAUUUGUUGCAAACACAACAAAGAAUUGAGUU